AUUUAUAUAAUUUAAAAAAAAUCUUAUAUUUUCAUUAUAAAAAUAAUAAAUAAAUUUAUUUAUAAAUA
This 68-nucleotide transfer RNA is filed under the name Cotesia flavipes. RNAcentral describes it as "tRNA-Glu". Lineage: Eukaryota; Metazoa; Arthropoda; Insecta; Hymenoptera; Braconidae. The record is from RNAcentral.